GAGGAUGUCCAUGCCACUGUUCUGUAAAUAGUUUGGGCUGUGCAGAAGGAUGAGGAGAUGCUGGAAACUGGAAUAGCCAUGGAAGAAGUAACUGGAUAAGAGGAUGUCCAUGCCACUGUUCUGUAAAUAGUUUGGGCUGUGCAGAAGGAUGAGGAGAUGCUGGAAUCUGGAAAAGCCAUGGAAGAAGUAACUGGGGAGCCUUCAUUUGAAUGAUAAGAGGAGGCCCAUGCCAUACUGAAAAGAUGCAGACCAAAAACAUAUUCUCUUAAGUUUUAAUAAAUAGUUUAAAAAACUUG
Molecule: long non-coding RNA, 296 nt
Organism: Neoarius graeffei (lesser salmon catfish)
Lineage: Eukaryota; Metazoa; Chordata; Actinopteri; Siluriformes; Ariidae
Exons: 3
Source: RefSeq, a predicted model, not a curated record